AGAAUCAACGCUGGCGGCGUGCCUAACACAUGCAAGUCGCACGAGAAAGGGUAGCAAUACCUGAGUACAGUGGCGCACGGGUGAGUAACACGUGAAUAAUCUACCUCCGAGUGGGGAAUAACUGAGAGAAGUCUUAGCUAAUACCGCAUAACACUUACGAGUCAAAGCAGCAAUGCGCUUGGAGAGGAGUUCGCGGCAGAUUAGUUAGUUGGCGGGGUAAUGGCCCACCAAGACGAUGAUCUGUA
Molecule: ribosomal RNA, 245 nt
Filed under: uncultured bacterium
Lineage: Bacteria
Description: partial small subunit ribosomal RNA
Rfam family: Bacterial small subunit ribosomal RNA
Source: RNAcentral